GAUGAACGCUGGCGGCGUGCCUAAUACAUGCCAGUCGAGCGAACGGACGAGAAGCUUGCUUCUCUGAUGUUAGCGGCGGACGGGUGAGUAACACGUGGAUAACCUACCUAUAAGACUGGGAUAACUUCGGGAAACCGUAGCUAAUACCGGAUAAUAUUUUGAACCGCAUGGUUCAAAAGUGAAAGACGGUCUUGCUGUCACUUCUAGAUGGAUCCGCGCUGCAUUAGCUAGUUGGUAAGGUAACGGCUUACCAAGGCAACGAUGCAUAGCCGACCUGAGAGAGUGAUCGGCCACACUGGAACUGAGACGGGGUCCAGAGUCCUACGGGAGGCAGCAGUAGGGAAUCGUCCGCAAUGGGCGAAAACCUGACGGAGCAACGGCGCGUGAGUGAUGAAGGUCUUCGGAUCGUAAAACUCUGUUAUUAGGGAAGAACAUAUGUGUAAGGAACUGUGCACAUCUUGACGGUACCUAAUCAGAAAGCCACGGCUAACUACGUG
Molecule: ribosomal RNA, 497 nt
Filed under: uncultured bacterium
Lineage: Bacteria
Description: partial 16S ribosomal RNA
Rfam family: Bacterial small subunit ribosomal RNA
Source: RNAcentral